GCGGGUGUGGCGGAACCGGUAGACGCGCAGCUCUUAAAAAGCCGUGCCUGAAAAGGCGUGUGGGUUCGAUCCCCACCACCCGCACCA
This 87-nucleotide transfer RNA is filed under the name Candidatus Dormiibacterota bacterium. RNAcentral describes it as "tRNA-Leu". It matches the Rfam family "tRNA". Rfam says of the family: Transfer RNA (tRNA) molecules are approximately 80 nucleotides in length. Their secondary structure includes four short double-helical elements and three loops (D, anti-codon, and T loops). Lineage: Bacteria; Bacillati; Candidatus Dormiibacterota. The record is from RNAcentral.